This 698-nucleotide ribosomal RNA is filed under the name uncultured cyanobacterium. RNAcentral describes it as "bacterial SSU rRNA". It matches the Rfam family "Bacterial small subunit ribosomal RNA", at positions 60 to 800 of the family's 1533-position model. Lineage: Bacteria; Bacillati; Cyanobacteriota. The record is from RNAcentral.
AGUCGAACGGGACUCUUCGGAGUUCAGUGGCGGACGGGUGAGUAACGCGUGAGAAUCUGCCUAGAGGAUGGGGACAACCACGGGAAACUGUGGCUAAUACCCAAUGAGCGGAGACGUUAAAGAUUUAUCGCCUCUAGAGGAGCUCGCGUCUGAUUAGCUAGUUGGUGGGGUAAAAGCCUACCAAGGCGACGAUCAGUAGCUGGUCUGAGAGGACAACCAGCCACACUGGGACUGAGACACGGCCCAGACUCCUACGGGAGGCAGCAGUGGGGAAUUUUCCGCAAUGGGCGAAAGCCUGACGGAGCAAUACCGCGUGAGGGAGGAAGGCUCUUGGGUCGUAAACCUCUUUUCUCAGGGAAGAAGAAAGUGACGGUACCUGAGGAAUCAGCCUCGGCUAACUCCGUGCCAGCAGCCGCGGUAAUACGGAGGAGGCAAGCGUUAUCCGGAAUUAUUGGGCGUAAAGCGUCCGUAGGUGGCUCUUCAAGUCUGCUGUCAAAGAGUGGGGCUUAACUCCAGAAAGGCAGUGGAAACUGAAAGGCUAGAGAGCCGUAGGGGUAGAGGGAAUUCCCGGUGUAGCGGUGAAAUGCGUAGAGAUCGGGAAGAACAUCGGUGGCGAAAGCGCUCUACUGGACGGUAUCUGACACUGAGGGACGAAAGCUAGGGGAGCGAAUGGGAUUAGAUACCCCAGUAGUCCUAGC